GUGCUUGCUUUGACAGCACAUGUACUAAAAUUGGAACGAUACAGAGAAGAUCAGCAUAGCGCCUGCGCAUGAUGACGCACAAAUUGGUGAAGCAUUCCAUAUAAAA
Nannospalax galili (Upper Galilee mountains blind mole rat) is the source of this 106-nucleotide small nuclear RNA. NCBI's taxonomy places the organism in Eukaryota, Metazoa, Chordata, Mammalia, Rodentia, Spalacidae. The record is from Ensembl.